This 1364-nucleotide ribosomal RNA is filed under the name Weissella koreensis. RNAcentral describes it as "16S ribosomal RNA". It matches the Rfam family "Bacterial small subunit ribosomal RNA", at positions 91 to 1442 of the family's 1533-position model. The record is from RNAcentral. Lineage: Bacteria; Bacillati; Bacillota; Bacilli; Lactobacillales; Lactobacillaceae.
AUGAGUGGCGAACGGGUGAGUAACACGUGGGAAACCUACCUCUUAGCAGGGGAUAACAUUUGGAAACAAAUGCUAAUACCGUAUAAUAAUUAAAACCGCAUGGUUUUAGUUUAAAAGAUGGUCUUGCUAUCACUAAGAGAUGGUCCCGCGGUGUAUUAGUUAGUUGGUGAGGUAAUGGCUCACCAAGACAAUGAUACAUAGCCGAGUUGAGAGACUGACCGGCCACAAUGGGACUGAGACACGGCCCAUACUCCUACGGGAGGCAGCAGUAGGGAAUCUUCCACAAUGGACGAAAGUCUGAUGGAGCAACGCCGCGUGUGUGAUGAAGGGUUUCGGCUCGUAAAACACUGUUGUAAGAGAAGAAUGACAUUGAGAGUAACUGUUCAAUGUGUGACGGUAUCUUACCAGAAAGGAACGGCUAAAUACGUGCCAGCAGCCGCGGUAAUACGUAUGUUCCAAGCGUUAUCCGGAUUUAUUGGGCGUAAAGCGAGCGCAGACGGUUAUUUAAGUCUGAAGUGAAAGCCCUCGGCUCAACCGAGGAAUUGCUUUGGAAACUGGAUAACUUGAGUGCAGUAGAGGAAAGUGGAACUCCAUGUGUAGCGGUGAAAUGCGUAGAUAUAUGGAAGAACACCAGUGGCGAAGGCGGCUUUCUGGACUGUAACUGACGUUGAGGCUCGAAAGUGUGGGUAGCAAACAGGAUUAGAUACCCUGGUAGUCCACACUGUAAACGAUGAGUGCUAGUUGUUCGAGGGUUUCCGCCCUUGAGUGACGAAGCUAACGCAUUAAGCACUCCGCCUGGGGAGUACGACCGCAAGGUUGAAACUCAAAGGAAUUGACGGGGACCCGCACAAGCGGUGGAGCAUGUGGUUUAAUUCGAAGCAACGCGAAGAACCUUACCAGGUCUUGACAUCCUUUGACCACUCCAGAGAUGGAGCUUUCCCUUCGGGGACAAAGUGACAGGUGGUGCAUGGUUGUCGUCAGCUCGUGUCGUGAGAUGUUGGGUUAAAGUCCCGCAACGAGCGCAACCCUUAUUGUUAGUUGCCAGCAUUUAGUUGGGCACUCUAGCAAGACUGCCGGUGACAAACCGGAGGAAGGCGGGGAUGACGUCAAAUCAUCAUGCCCCUUAUGACCUGGGCUACACACGUGCUACAAUGGCAAGUACAACGAGUCGCCAACCCGCGAGGGUGCGCAAAUCUCUUAAAGCUUGUCUCAGUUCGGACUGUAGGCUGCAACUCGCCUACACGAAGUCGGAAUCGCUAGUAAUCGCGGAUCAGCACGCCGCGGUGAAUACGUUCCCGGGUCUUGUACACACCGCCCGUCACACCAUGAGAGUUUGUAACACCCAAAGUCGGUGAGGUAACCUU